This 664-nucleotide ribosomal RNA is filed under the name uncultured bacterium. RNAcentral describes it as "bacterial SSU rRNA". It matches the Rfam family "Bacterial small subunit ribosomal RNA", at positions 372 to 1031 of the family's 1533-position model. The record is from RNAcentral.
CAGGGCGCAGCUGAUCCACCAUUCCGCGUGCAGACGAAGCCUUCGGGUUGUAAACUGCUUUUGUACAGAACGAAAAGCCUUGGGUUAAUACCCUGGGGUCAUGACGGUACUGUAAGAAUAAGCACCGGCUAACUACGUGCCAGCAGCCGCGGUAAUACGUAGGGUGCGAGCGUUAAUCGGAAUUACUGGGCGUAAAGCGUGCGCAGGCGGUUGUGCAAGACAGAUGUGAAAUCCCCGGGCUUAACCUGGGAAUGGCAUUUGUGACUGCACGGCUAGAGUGUGUCAGAGGGGGGUAGAAUUCCACGUGUAGCAGUGAAAUGCGUAGAUAUGUGGAGGAAUACCGAUGGCGAAGGCAGCCCCCUGGGAUAACACUGACGCUCAUGCACGAAAGCGUGGGGAGCAAACAGGAUUAGAUACCCUGGUAGUCCACGCCCUAAACGAUGUCAACUAGUUGUCGGGUCUUAAUUGACUUGGUAACGCAGCUAACGCGUGAAGUUGACCGCCUGGGGAGUACGGUCGCAAGAUUAAAACUCAAAGGAAUUGACGGGGACCCGCACAAGCGGUGGAUGAUGUGGAUUAAUUCGAUGCAACGCGAAAAACCUUACCUAACCUUGACAUGUCUGGAAUCCUGAAGAGAUUUGGGAGUGCUCGAAAGAGAACCCGA